RNAcentral lists this microRNA precursor (101 nucleotides) under Anopheles darlingi. RNAcentral describes it as "microRNA mir-315". Lineage: Eukaryota; Metazoa; Arthropoda; Insecta; Diptera; Culicidae. The record is from RNAcentral.
CCGCGUGGAAAGUUUGACUUUUCGUCAAAAAGUCCAUAACAUAAACAAAGUCCAUACAUAAACAAUGGACCUUUUGACGAAAAGUCAAACUUUCCACGCGC